Molecule: ribosomal RNA, 209 nt
Filed under: Clostridioides difficile
Lineage: Bacteria; Bacillati; Bacillota; Clostridia; Peptostreptococcales; Peptostreptococcaceae
Description: partial 16S ribosomal RNA
Rfam family: Bacterial small subunit ribosomal RNA
Source: RNAcentral
GAGAUGUUGGGUUAAGUCCCGCAACGAGCGCAACCCUUGUCUUUAGUUGCCAUCAUUAAGUUGGGCACUCUAGAGAGACUGCCAGGGAUAACCUGGAGGAAGGCGGGGAUGACGUCAAAUCAUCAUGCCCCUUAUGCUUAGGGCUACACACGUGCUACAAUGGGUAGUACAGAGGGUUGCCAAGCCGUAAGGUGGAGCUAAUCCCUUAA